Molecule: transfer RNA, 77 nt
Filed under: Escherichia coli O157:H7
Lineage: Bacteria; Pseudomonadati; Pseudomonadota; Gammaproteobacteria; Enterobacterales; Enterobacteriaceae
Description: tRNA-OTHER
Rfam family: tRNA
About the family: Transfer RNA (tRNA) molecules are approximately 80 nucleotides in length. Their secondary structure includes four short double-helical elements and three loops (D, anti-codon, and T loops).
Source: RNAcentral
GCGUGGUUAGCUCACCGGACAGAGCAAUUGCCUUCAGAAGCAAUCGUUCACUGGUUCGAAUCCAGUACAACGCACCA